RNAcentral lists this ribosomal RNA (1336 nucleotides) under metagenome. RNAcentral's name for it is "bacterial LSU rRNA". It matches the Rfam family "Bacterial large subunit ribosomal RNA", at positions 1581 to 2925 of the family's 2925-position model. The record is from RNAcentral.
AGUAACGAAUUAUCGAGAAGCACACUGACGAGAAAAGCUUGUAGAUAUUGUAUAUAAAUACCCGUACCGCAAACCGACACAGGUAGAUGAGGAGAGGAUCCUAAGACGAGCGGGAGAAGCAUUGUUAAGGAACUCGGCAAAUUAACCCCGUAACUUCGGGAGAAGGGGUGCCAAGGUAACACUUGGCCGCAGUGAAGAGGUUCAAGCAACUGUUUAACAAAAACACAGGUUUCUGCUAAAUCGAAAGAUGAAGUAUAGGAGCUGACGCCUGCCCAGUGCUGGAAGGUCAAAGGGGAGUGUUAGUAUUAACUACGAAGCACAGAACUCAAGCCCCAGUGAACGGCGGCCGUAACAAUAACGGUCCUAAGGUAGCGAAAUUCCUUGUCAGGUAAGUUCUGACCCGCACGAAAGGCGUAAUGAUUUGAACACUGUCUCGACAAUGUACCCGGCGAAAUUGUAGUACUAGUGAAGAUGCUAGUUACCUGCGACAAGACAGAAAGACCCCAUGGAGCUUUACUGCAGCUUGAUACUGGGUUUUGGUAAUUUAUGUACAGGAUAGGUGGGAUACAUUGAAGCAAGGGCGCCAGCUUUUGUGGAGUAGACGUUGGGAUACCACUCUUAAAUUAUUGAAAUUCUAACCUGUGAUCAUGAACUGGUCAGGGGACAAUGUCAGGCGGGCAGUUUGACUGGGGCGGUCGCCUCCUAAAGAGUAACGGAGGCGCCCAAAGGUUUCCUCAGCACGGACAGAAAUCGUGCAUAAGAGUGUAAAGGCAGAAGGAAGCUUAACUGGGAGACUGACAAGUCGAGCAGAUACGAAAGUAGGGCUUAGUGAUCCGGCGGUAGUGAGUGGAAAUGCCGUCGCUCAACGGACAAAAGUUACCCUGGGGAUAACAGGCUUAUCUCCCCCAAGAGUUCACAUCGACGGGGAGGUUUGGCACCUCGAUGUCGGCUCAUCGCAUCCUGGAGCGGAAGUACGUUCCAAGGGUUGGGCUGUUCGCCCAUUAAAGCGGUACGCGAGCUGGGUUCAGAACGUCGUGAGACAGUUCGGUCCUUAUCUGUCGCAGGCGUAGGAUAUUUGAAGGGAGCUGUCCUUAGUACGAGAGGACCAGGAUGGACAUACCGAUGGUGUAUCAGUUGUCACACCAGUGGCACGGCUGAGUAGCUAAGUAUGGAAGGGAUAAACGCUGAAAGCAUCUAAGUGUGAAGCCCACCUUAAGAUAAGAUAUCCCAUUGCACAAGCAAGUAAGAUCCCAUGAAGACUACAUGGUAGAUAGGUUGGGGGUGUAAGUACAGUAAUGUAUUAAGCUGACCAAUACUAAUAGAUCGAGGGCUUAAC